UACGUAGGGGGCAAGCGUUGUCCGGAAUCAUUGGGCGUAAAGCGCGUGUAGGCGGCUCGGUAAGUCUGCUGUGAAAGUCCAGGGCUCAACCCUGGGAUGCCGGUGGAUACUGUCGAGCUCGAGUCCGGAAGAGGCGAGUGGAAUUCCUGGUGUAGCGGUGAAAUGCGCAGAUAUCAGGAGGAGCACCAAUGGCGAAGGCAGCUCGCUGGGACGUGACUGACGCUGAGACGCGAAAGCGUGGGGAGCAAACAGG
RNAcentral lists this ribosomal RNA (253 nucleotides) under uncultured bacterium. RNAcentral's name for it is "partial 16S ribosomal RNA". It matches the Rfam family "Bacterial small subunit ribosomal RNA", at positions 524 to 776 of the family's 1533-position model. The record is from RNAcentral.